RNAcentral lists this ribosomal RNA (253 nucleotides) under uncultured bacterium. RNAcentral describes it as "partial 16S ribosomal RNA". It matches the Rfam family "Bacterial small subunit ribosomal RNA", at positions 524 to 776 of the family's 1533-position model. The record is from RNAcentral.
GACGUAGGAUGCGAGCGUUGUUCGGAUUUAUUGGGCGUAAAGCGUACGUAGGCGGCUUUUUAAGUCUGGUGUUAAAGCUAGGGGCUCAACCCCUGUGUUGCACUGGAAACUGGAAGGCUUGAGUGUGGUAGGGGAAGGUGGAAUUCCGAGUGUAGCGGUGAAAUGCGUAGAUAUCUGGAGGAACACCGGUGGCGAAGGCGGCAUCCUGGACCGACAUUGACGCUGAGGAGCGAAAGCCAGGGGAGCAAACGGG